RNAcentral lists this long non-coding RNA (371 nucleotides) under Carica papaya (papaya). RNAcentral's name for it is "long non-coding RNA (CPAP_LNC009251)". Lineage: Eukaryota; Viridiplantae; Streptophyta; Magnoliopsida; Brassicales; Caricaceae. The record is from RNAcentral.
AGUGAGUAAGAACAAUAACUUUUCUUUUUAUUUGUCCACUAGUAUUCAUGGGGGCCCAUAGGGAUAUCCUACUAUGCGUGAAUCAAUAUUCAACAUUGUCAACUAACUGGUCAUUCUCAUACUCCAUCCGGUAUGAGCGUCAAAAUUAUUAUCCCUCAAUAUCCCGUUCAGUAUGAGGUUGAAUCAGGUCGUCCCCAUACCCCGUCCGGUAUGAGCACCAAAAAUAUAAUUCCUCGAUAUCCCGUCUGGUAUGAAGUAACGUUCACGAUAGGGUUCCUUAUGUACCUGGUCCGUCCACCAUCACCCAGGAUAUUCAAUAAGUAUACCAUUCAUUAAUUCACAUGACCAAACAAUUUUUUAUUUGCAUAUUA